AGGAUAAUAGUUAAUUAUAACAUUUGAAUUGCACUCAAAAAGUAUUGGGAAUCCAAUUUAUCUUA
RNAcentral lists this transfer RNA (65 nucleotides) under Nepsalus decorosus. RNAcentral describes it as "tRNA-Ala". The record is from RNAcentral. Lineage: Eukaryota; Metazoa; Arthropoda; Insecta; Neuroptera; Myrmeleontidae.